This 327-nucleotide ribosomal RNA is filed under the name uncultured bacterium. RNAcentral describes it as "bacterial SSU rRNA". It matches the Rfam family "Bacterial small subunit ribosomal RNA", at positions 588 to 916 of the family's 1533-position model. The record is from RNAcentral.
UCAGAUGUGAAAGCCCAGGGCUCAACCUUGGAACUGCGUUUGAAACUGUUUAACUUGAGUUCGGGAGAGGAAGGUGGAAUUCCCAGUGUAGCGGUGAAAUUCGUAGAUAUUGGGAAGAACACCGGUGGCGAAGGCGGCCUUCUGGUCCGUUACUGACGCUGAGGUACGAAAGCGUGGGGAGCAAACAGGAUUAGAUACCCUGGUAGUCCACGCCGUAAACGAUGGUGCUAGAUGUCGGAGUAUCGAUCCCUUCGGUGCCCAACCUAACGCAUUAAGCAUCCGCCUGGGGAGUACGGCCGCAAGGUUAAAACUCAAAGGAAUUGACGG